ACAGAAUUUAAUUUAACAAUAAAUGAAACUACAGUGUAAUGAGGUUAUGACACCUACAGUAUAUUAUGGUUUAAAAUUGUAUAAUGUAUACUGUUCCACUUUAAGUAUUUACUAUGCAGUACGCAUUAAGCACUGUUAGUAUUUUAUUCCAAUCAUAACCUCAUUGUGCUUUGCUCAGGGUCAGCUCAGUGGUAUCUCUUCCACCGAGUCCUCCCUUAAAAGAAAUAAACGGAGAGCUCCGCCCCCACCAUGUGAUGGCCCCACCCCAUCCGAUUCAGAUAACAAAGUAGAGGAAGCUCAAGGGGACGACAAGAGUUCAGACAAAUACAGAGCUUGCACUGCUGACCGCUGCCCUGCAAUUGCUAAAGUUAUGAGUGAACUUGCAGAAUCUCUGCAGGCACGGCAACAGAGAACCCUAUCUUCUGUAAAUUCUUCUAUAUCCCAGAAUCAGCUAGCAGAAGAUUCUUCUACAGGUUUGUUUUCUGAGCAUCACACCCCUGAGGCUGAGCUUAAGGCACUUUCUGGCUGUCAGCUGCUGAGAAACCCCUCUGAGAGAGAAGGUUUGACCACCUUCACUGUGGUUCCCCAGAGACGUCAGCAGAGCAGGCAGUGUUUUGAGGUGCCACUAACCUUACAGACACCCGACACUGCUAAAGCCGAACAAGAGCUGUGCCCUGGAGACCAAGAUGCUCUUGAGAUCUCCACCACAGAGAUUUUGGAAGCAGUCACAACUGAACCUUUCAGAUAUGUGUGCAAACGUUCAGAUAAAAGUGAGCACUUAUCAGAGGUUCUACAUCUACAGCAUGUGAAGCAAGAGAAUCAAGCUUGUACAAAUGUAGAGAGCGAGAAUUUGGAACUUAAAGAUGAAGAGGACCAAUUUAUUCAUCCAGAAAACAUGGAGCUUGAGAGCUUAAAAUCAUUCCAAAGAGGCCUCGGUGAUCUAGAACAUUUAGGUAGCACAAUGAACAAUCUAGAACUAAAAGACAGUUGGGCUAAUCCUUCGAAACUUGCUGAUAGGUCACCAGUCAAUCCAAAUACACAUCUUGUGGAGCAAGAGGAGAGGGAAGAGCAUGCGUUGGUGGAAACUGGAGAAGAAAAGGAUUUGGUAGAAGAAUACAAAGAGAGAAGAAGGAAGUUUCUAGGUGGUGAUGAUGGUAUGAAAAAUGUAGAUGUUUGGGGAAGGAUCCAGAAAGAAUUUACGAACAGGCAAGAAGAAAAAACAAUACAAGAAAUGGACUUCCCAUCACCUCCACUGCCUGUCUGCUGGGAUGAGAAUAAUGGUGAAAAUGAAGAGGAUUCGAGCGAGCUAGAAAUGCAGACCUGUGAUGAAGACCUUGACCAAUGGGCAAACUUAGACUCAAAGCCCAAAUAUGCACCUUGUCUACAAUAUGCCACACCAAAAGCCCACUCGCCCCAAACUAAUACUGAUCUGAACAUCUCUAGGGCUGAAAACAAUUGCAGCUCUGAUCCUGAACCUCACAGGACUUCCUUUUUAUCUGAAUCACAUUCAAGCUUUGACCCCUACCCUCCUGCAACAGUCUCUCUUUUCGCCUUGGCUGUAUUUCAGAAGGCUAAGCGCUCCAAACCAGGGCUGGAUCCCAACUGCUCCAGGAGACGGAAGCUGCCCGUGCACACACACAGUAAUUGAUGGCCAGUCUGAAUAUGGUAGUGUUCAUUUGGCUUAAAUAUGGAGGAUGUUCUUCACCAGAAUGAACAGGAGGACACACUAUAUUAAACUACUCUAUUAAAACCGCUAUUUCUUAUAAGAUUAUUUGAUUCUGUGUUUUAGCAUUAUGAAUAUUUUGGAUGAAAAACAUUCUGAAAGAUCUGACCUGUAUUUUCCUUUUUUUUUCUAUUUUUUUUUUCUUUUUUUUCUCGACUGAUUUUCACAGAUCCUUUCAGAAAGGAGUAUUUUUCCAGCCUUUUAAUUGACUCAACAGGAACGUUAUUGUGCCAAGAGUAAACUUUGCCCCCACUGAAUACACUUGGGGUAAAAACAUGCAUGUAUUCAUAUGUGCACAUUUUUGUAUAUUGAUGAAGGCUUAUAUUGCCGAAUUGAAGUCUUUUUUUUUUCUUAGAGAAAUUAGUCCUGAGAAACUUGCCAGGAUACAGUUUUCUUCAUGUUGUCGUUUGUAUUUUUGAGCAUAAAUAAAUAACAUUUGUUUGUAAACUUCAGGCAAAGUGUUUCAUCAUUCAGAUUUAGUGAAAAAUAUAAAAGCAAAGUCAGAGUGGGUGGUGCUGUGAUGUUAAAGAAAUAGUUCUCCCAGAAAUGGGGGGGAAAAAAAUGUACUUGCCCUCAGGCCAUCUAAGAUGUAGCCUAGAUGAAUUUCUUUCUUCAUGAGGACUGAUUUGGAGAAAUUUUGCAUUACAUAAUUUUUUCACCAAUGGAUCCUCCAUGAAGCACCAUAUAUGACGGCGACUCUUCUUCUAUGCAACCAUGAUGUUAAAAUGUUGUGAAUGGUAAGAAAUCCUUAUUGAUAACAUUCAUAACUAUACUGUACAUUGUCCAUCAUAACUGACAUAUUUAUAAAUAUAAUCUGAAAAUUGUACAUUUGUCAAAUGCAC
RNAcentral lists this long non-coding RNA (2565 nucleotides) under Sinocyclocheilus grahami. RNAcentral describes it as "lncRNA (ENSSGRG00000005270.1)". The record is from RNAcentral. Lineage: Eukaryota; Metazoa; Chordata; Actinopteri; Cypriniformes; Cyprinidae.